CUAAUCAAAAUAUAGUCUGGCCUGUCACAA
Molecule: non-coding RNA, 30 nt
Filed under: Mus musculus (house mouse)
Lineage: Eukaryota; Metazoa; Chordata; Mammalia; Rodentia; Muridae
Source: RNAcentral